This 556-nucleotide ribosomal RNA is filed under the name uncultured bacterium. RNAcentral's name for it is "partial 16S ribosomal RNA". It matches the Rfam family "Bacterial small subunit ribosomal RNA", at positions 355 to 932 of the family's 1533-position model. The record is from RNAcentral.
UGGGGAAUAUUGGACAAUGGGCGCAAGCCUGAUCCAGCCAUGCCGCGUGAGUGAUGAAGGCCUUAGGGUUGUAAAGCUCUUUCGCCGACGAAGAUAAUGACGGUAGUCGGAGAAGAAGCCCCGGCUAACUUCGUGCCAGCAGCCGCGGUAAUACGAAGGGGGCUAGCGUUGUUCGGAAUCACUGGGCGUAAAGCGCACGUAGGCGGAUUGUUAAGUCAGGGGUGAAAGCCUGGAGCUCAACUCCAGAACUGCCCUUGAUACUGGCAAUCUCGAGUCCGGAAGAGGUAAGUGGAACUGCGAGUGUAGAGGUGAAAUUCGUAGAUAUUCGCAAGAACACCAGUGGCGAAGGCGGCUUACUGGUCCGGUACUGACGCUGAGGUGCGAAAAGCGUGGGGAGCAAAACAGGAUUAGAUACCCUGGUAGUCCACGCCGUAAACGAUGGAGGCUAGCCGUUGGCGAGCAUGCUCGUCAGUGGCGCAGCUAACGCAUUAAGCCUCCCGCCUGGGGAGUACGGUCGCAAGAUUAAAACUUAAAGGAAUUGACGGGGUCAUAGCUG